UGUUGUGACGAAUAACGGCAA
RNAcentral lists this non-coding RNA (21 nucleotides) under Caenorhabditis elegans. The record is from RNAcentral. Lineage: Eukaryota; Metazoa; Nematoda; Chromadorea; Rhabditida; Rhabditidae.